UGAAUGGGGAAUUGGAGCCUGCCAGUCUCCCCACAAUCCCCAUUGGUCUCCCAAAUGACUAUGAGGAAGUGAAAUCGGCCUACUCUCUUUAAGGUGUCCAAUAACAAGACCGUUGUUGUUGCUCCUUUUUGGGAUAACCCUUUUCCUCGACAAAGAAAAAACUGCCACAAGUGAGUUGUGUCGCACUCGUGUCCCCAGGGACUGCGAGUGGAUUGGGAGGGAUUCGUGCACUAUAUACUGACAGAUGGGUCCUUGUUUCUGUCUUUUUUUCUUCAUCUCCAUCUCCCUCUGCCUCCCUUGCCAAAGCGCAGACACACUCGCACACAUCAAGACAACACCAAUACAAUAGGAAUUAAAGCCCUGGUCUACACACAUGCUCUUUGGCCUGCUCCUGAAAGCUGAGCCCCUCGCAGCGAUCAUAAAAGGAGCCUGGAUUUGUGUGAGGAGUUGGCGUGCUAAGACAUGGGAGGGGUGAUGUGGCACAUGGGUGGUAAAGCUGCAGAGAUAAAUUUGUAUCAUUGUCCAAUAAAUAAUUUUCCACUUGUGAA
Molecule: long non-coding RNA, 548 nt
Organism: Gambusia affinis (western mosquitofish)
Lineage: Eukaryota; Metazoa; Chordata; Actinopteri; Cyprinodontiformes; Poeciliidae
Exons: 2
Source: RefSeq, a predicted model, not a curated record